Molecule: RNA transcript, 418 nt
Organism: Paralichthys olivaceus (Japanese flounder)
Lineage: Eukaryota; Metazoa; Chordata; Actinopteri; Pleuronectiformes; Paralichthyidae
Gene: sox1a
Gene name: SRY-box transcription factor 1a
Source: RefSeq, a predicted model, not a curated record
CGCCAUGUUGCCUCUAGUCUGCUGAAACACGUCCGGUGUUGUUUACACUGUUCUUUCUAAUAAUAUCUCUGGUCCUUGUCUUUUGUCAUGUUUGUUAAUUGCACUGGAAGCAGUUUUCUUUUUCUGCUGGUAAAUACUUCGGAGCUCCACCACCUCCUGUGAAGAAAAAGAAAAACACCUGGAACAACUGCUUCACCCCGACAAGCUAGACAGACAAAGUGGCAUUUCCUGACUGUUCCCAUCCCCGUCUUGAGUUAUCUGACACCCAAAAAUACGGCUACGGGGGAAGCAGGGAGGCGAGGCACCACAGCCUUAUCCCGAUAAACAUCACCUAGUUGGAGCAGAUGGGCGGAGGAAGGAUGGGGUCAAUGAAGAAGAAGGAGGACAAUGGCAUUGGUUCAGAGACUGAAUGGCCAGA